AUGGGCAUGAAAUUCGCUGAUUUUGAAGUAUAGAAACUUUUAAGUUUAAUUUGGAGCAAAUCUUGAAGGGGGAGGGGGGUUGAGUAAUUAAUCCUAAACAAUACCAAACCAACAUACAACAUAACAAUAAAGUAAAAAAAUUAAAAAAUGACAGUUAGAAAUUAGGCUAACUUCAUCCGGUCAAUAAUUGUUCAGGUUUUUGUUAUUGACCCAUAUUUCCAUUGCUUGAGCAUUGUUUUUAGGGGUGGCAAUUCGUGUUCAGGGGGGGUCAUGUUCAUGUGAACAUAUGGGCAUAACAAAAUUUGAGUCAACACAAACACGGCCCGUUUUUCAAUGGGAUAACAUGACAUGAUAACACGUUUAGCAAAUAUAAUAUUAUGAACCAUUUAAUUCAGUACUAGACGUUUUAACACAUAUUGACACAAAUCCAAUGUAUUUAGACUCAUCAAUUUUAUAAUAUAAAAAGUUACCAAAACAAUAAAUCAUAAAUAUAAUAUAAAUAGCAACGUGAAGUGAUGAUUAAAAUAAUGCUAUUCUAAAAAAAGAAUAUUAUAUAUACACCAUAAAAUAAAUUAAAAAAACAAAUAACUAAAUUAAU
Molecule: unclassified non-coding RNA, 598 nt
Filed under: Hevea brasiliensis (rubber tree)
Lineage: Eukaryota; Viridiplantae; Streptophyta; Magnoliopsida; Malpighiales; Euphorbiaceae
Source: RNAcentral